CAUUUACACAACAUGGAGUCAAAGAACUCCCACACUAAUCUGAAUCCAUGUCAAAUAUUCUCUAAUUCACACAUACACUAGUCUGAAAUUCACACCUACUAACUAUGUCACAGUAAUACGAAAUUCACACUUGCUAAAUCUAUCACAAAACCUAAACUAGUUAUUUCACUUUCCUGGAUUAAAAGGCAAAGGAGCAACAUGUACCUAUGUGUGGAUCUUGGGCCAUUAGGCAAGGAGGCAAAGUGUUGUAGCUGCAGCAACUUCUUAAAAGUCAACAUUGAUCAUAUUUUUUAGGCCUUGAAAACACCACCAUAUAAAUGACAGCCAUGAAAUGAAGAACUUACCGGUAAGUAUAGUUAUCGGUGCAGCGCCACCCAUCAUUCUCAGAAAUUCAGAGAAAACUCAUUCAAAACUCUUGAUGGUUCCAUCACACACAAGCACUCCAGCCAGGAUAACACUCUGGAAAUGAUUAUUCACACCAAGGCCGAAAGGCUGUGUCAAAUGUUAACACAUCACCGAAAACGUGUACUGCAACCUGCUGCUCCCGCUUAC
Molecule: long non-coding RNA, 552 nt
Filed under: Triticum aestivum (bread wheat)
Lineage: Eukaryota; Viridiplantae; Streptophyta; Magnoliopsida; Poales; Poaceae
Description: long non-coding RNA (TAES_LNC022541)
Source: RNAcentral